GAGCGGAUGACGGGAGCUUGCUCCUUGAUUCAGCGGCGGACGGGUGAGUAAUGCCUAGGAAUCUGCCUGGUAGUGGGGGACAACGUUUCGAAAGGAACGCUAAUACCGCAUACGUCCUACGGGAGAAAGCAGGGGACCUUCGGGCCUUGCGCUAUCAGAUGAGCCUAGGUCGGAUUAGCUAGUUGGUGGGGUAAUGGCUCACCAAGGCGACGAUCCGUAACUGGUCUGAGAGGAUGAUCAGUCACACUGGAACUGAGACACGGUCCAGACUCCUACGGGAGGCAGCAGUGGGGAAUAUUGGACAAUGGGCGAAAGCCUGAUCCAGCCAUGCCGCGUGUGUGAAGAAGGUCUUCGGAUUGUAAAGCACUUUAAGUUGGGAGGAAGGGCAGUAAGUUAAUACCUUGCUGUNUUGACGUUACCGACAGAAUAAGCACCGGCUAACUCUGUG
RNAcentral lists this ribosomal RNA (448 nucleotides) under uncultured bacterium. RNAcentral's name for it is "bacterial SSU rRNA". It matches the Rfam family "Bacterial small subunit ribosomal RNA", at positions 64 to 507 of the family's 1533-position model. The record is from RNAcentral.